RNAcentral lists this unclassified non-coding RNA (336 nucleotides) under soil metagenome. Its description in RNAcentral is "partial contains 5.8S ribosomal RNA, internal transcribed spacer 2, and large subunit ribosomal RNA". The stretch from base 1 to 120 matches the Rfam family "5.8S ribosomal RNA", at positions 35 to 154 of the family's 154-position model. The record is from RNAcentral.
GAUGAAGAACGUAGUGAAAUGCGAUAAGUAAUGUGAAUUGCAGAAUUCAGUGAAUCAUCUAAUCUUUGAACGCACAUUGCGCCCGCCAGUAUUCUGGCGGGCAUGCCUGUUCGAGCGUCAUUUCAACCAUCAAGCCCCAGGCUUGUGUUGGGGACCUGCGGCUGCCGCAGGCCCUGAAAACCAGUGGCGGGCUCGCUGUCACACCGGGCGUAGUAGAUUUUAUCUCGCUCAGGGCGUGCUGCGGGUUCCGGCCGUUAAAAAGCCUUUUUUACCCAAGGUUGACCUCGGAUCAGGUAGGAAGACCCGCUGAACUUAAGCAUAUCAAUAAGCGGAGGA